This 447-nucleotide ribosomal RNA is filed under the name uncultured bacterium. RNAcentral describes it as "bacterial SSU rRNA". It matches the Rfam family "Bacterial small subunit ribosomal RNA", at positions 28 to 465 of the family's 1533-position model. The record is from RNAcentral.
GAUGAACGCUAGCUACAGGCUUAACACAUGCAAGUCGAGGGGCAGCAUGAACUUAGCUUGCUAAGUUUGAUGGCGACCGGCGCACGGGUGAGUAACACGUAUCCAACCUGCCGAUGACUCGGGGAUAGCCUUUCGAAAGAAAGAUUAAUACCCGAUGGCAUAGUUCUUCCGCAUGGUAGAACUAUUAAAGAAUUUCGGUCAUCGAUGGGGAUGCGUUCCAUUAGGUUGUUGGCGGGGUAACGGCCCACCAAGCCUUCGAUGGAUAGGGGUUCUGAGAGGAAGGUCCCCCACAUUGGAACUGAGACACGGUCCAAACUCCUACGGGAGGCAGCAGUGAGGAAUAUUGGUCAAAUGGACGAGAGUCUGAACCAGCCAAGUAGCGUGAAGGAUGACUGCCCUAUGGGUUGUAAACUUCUUUAUACGGAAUAAAGUGAGGCAUGUGUGCCG